UUUUUUUAUUUUCUUCUUUUGAUUUGUUGCAUACACAUCAAUUUUUGCUACAUACAUAUAAAACUUAAAGAUCAUUUGAGGAAUUGAAGGAUUGGAUUUCAUAUUUGUAUGUAUGUUUAACAUGUGAACUUGAAAAUAGAAGGUUAGAAAAAGGUUGGAGGCGAUUGCAGGAAAAGAAAUUCCACAUAGAGGUGUUUUUAUCUGUUUUUGUGUGUUUGUAUGUAGGUAUAUAUAUUUGUAUAGGUGUGUGUGUGUAUAUAUAUAUAUAUAUAUAUAUAUAUAUAUAUAUAUAUAUAUAUAUAUAUAUAUAUAUAUAUAUAGUAAUAGCCUAUGAUUUUUAUUCUUCUUUUUGGAAGGGUAUUCUCUGUGGAUAAAUCUUAUUGUAGAUAUUGGAUCUGCAGGCAAUAGGCUACAAAUUUUGAUUGAUUGAGAUGGGGCAAAUUUUCAGUUAAAUCUAUUUUAAAGUUGAACAUCUAUCUUUUGAUGAGUGGCCACAAGUUUUUGGUUUUCAUGCUAUAUCUCCUUAAAUGCCAAAGCUUCCUUAUAUGGUUUUCUCUUUCCUAUGAAAAUUCUGUAAUUAAACUUCUGAACAUAUAUUUACAAGUGAAGGAUAAAAUAGAAGGAAAAAGGAAGUAUGGAAAUGGGACGAGAAUCAGUAGAGGUAGAAACACCCCAAAUCAUAUUCUAUGGAGAGGUUUGUUAAUUUUUUCUACCAAAUUUGUCUUAUUGAAGCCGACUUUUAAACAUUAUUGUUCGUAAGCCGGAUUGGUUGUCACACCCCAAAACCGAAACAGCGGAAACGUUUGGGGGCGGAGGACGUCAUGUACUGUAUCAGAACAAUUGUAUAAUAGUAAUCAAAGCAAACAUAAUCAUUAAAUUGAUAAAAUAUAGUGUUUACAUCUGUUUAGUACAUGAUUUGUAUGACAUCAAAAGUAUAUAGCAAAAGUAUAAAAGAUGCGACUCUCUAAAGCUCCGUCUUCUCAAAACUAGUGAGUGUACCUGUCUACCGGUUCUUUGAGAAUACAAGUGAUUUUGAAAGUGUAUCAACAUUUAAGUUGGUGAUUUCAUAAGUAUGUUUUUGAGAUGGAAAGCUUUGUCUUGGUUCAUUGAAAAAUGUUAUAGUGUUCUCCUAGAAAAUCCAAUAUUUUCUUUAGUGAAUGAAAUGUAGUCUUAUUAAUAAAUAUAACUUUAUCA
Lactuca sativa (garden lettuce) is the source of this 1194-nucleotide non-coding RNA. The record is from RefSeq and is a predicted model, not a curated record. Lineage: Eukaryota; Viridiplantae; Streptophyta; Magnoliopsida; Asterales; Asteraceae.